UACGUAGGGUGCGAGCGUUGUUCGGAUUCACUGGGCGUAAAGGGUGCGUAGGUGGCUACUUUAAGUUUGAUGUGAAAGCUCCGGGCUCAACCCGGAAAUGGCAUUGAAGACUAUUGAGCUAGAGGUUUGGAGGGGGGACUGGAAUGCUUGGUGUAGCAGUGAAAUGCGUAGAUAUCAAGCGGAACACCGGUGGCGAAGGCGAGUCCCUGGACAACACCUGACACUGAGGCACGAAAGCUAGGGGAGCAAACAGG
RNAcentral lists this ribosomal RNA (254 nucleotides) under uncultured bacterium. RNAcentral's name for it is "partial 16S ribosomal RNA". It matches the Rfam family "Bacterial small subunit ribosomal RNA", at positions 524 to 776 of the family's 1533-position model. The record is from RNAcentral.